RNAcentral lists this small nucleolar RNA (138 nucleotides) under Ornithorhynchus anatinus (platypus). Lineage: Eukaryota; Metazoa; Chordata; Mammalia; Monotremata; Ornithorhynchidae. The record is from RNAcentral.
CCCCUCUCAGGAUUGCAUCUGGAGAGUUUCCAGUACUCUACUAGUCUUGGCUAUGGGAGAGAGAGUCAUGCAGAAGCAUAACCAUUCCAUUCCUAGCUUGGACAGUGGCUAACGAGUGGAAGGCAAUCUGUUGCAAGU